This 90-nucleotide small RNA is filed under the name Arabidopsis thaliana (thale cress). Its description in RNAcentral is "ATSL284510". Lineage: Eukaryota; Viridiplantae; Streptophyta; Magnoliopsida; Brassicales; Brassicaceae. The record is from RNAcentral.
AUUCGAAAAAAAAACUGUUUUACAUCAAGUGCAGCUUUUGUGUUAAGUGGUUCUCGAAAGAAAUAUAAUAGUCAAAUUAAAUAGAAGUGA